RNAcentral lists this ribosomal RNA (218 nucleotides) under Gardnerella vaginalis. RNAcentral describes it as "partial 16S ribosomal RNA". It matches the Rfam family "Bacterial small subunit ribosomal RNA", at positions 209 to 426 of the family's 1533-position model. Lineage: Bacteria; Bacillati; Actinomycetota; Actinomycetes; Bifidobacteriales; Bifidobacteriaceae. The record is from RNAcentral.
GGUCUGUGGGCAUGGGAUGGGGUCGCGUCCUAUCAGCUUGUAGGCGGGGUAAUGGCCCACCUAGGCUUCGACGGGUAGCCGGCCUGAGAGGGCGGACGGCCACAUUGGGACUGAGAUACGGCCCAGACUCCUACGGGAGGCAGCAGUGGGGAAUAUUGCGCAAUGGGGGAAACCCUGACGCAGCGACGCCGCGUGCGGGAUGAAGGCCUUCGGGUUGU